UGCUUGGUCUUGAGCCGAACAGGUGGCUUCUAGUCUGGUGGCUUCGGGGAUGUUGACCGUAAAGGUGGAUGAGUGGUGUUUGGUUUGUUACGUGUGGUUGGCUGCGGCGUUUGCAACAACUUCCAUGCUUUCAGACCUCUUCAGUUGUGCGGCAAGGCUUGUAUCGCCUUGAGCGUAUUGUGGGUUUUCUGUGUUGAAUACCUAAUCAAUGGUAUCGGUUGGAUUGAUCAAAGUUUCAUUUCGUCUUCCGUCGCGCUUGCGACGUGAGGUGAACCUCGAUGCGGUCUCUUUGAUCCACCUCGUUGAAGCACAUGCUUCGACGUUGUGGCACAUUGAGCAUUGCUUGGUCUCUUGUAUACGGAACAUAUAGUGGGCAUGGAUCUAACGAUUCUCGUUUGCCCUCAUAUUAGCGUAUCGCUUCUCUAAUGCGACUCGUGCUACGCCUUGGCUCGUCCGGGCGUGGUGCUA
RNAcentral lists this unclassified non-coding RNA (468 nucleotides) under Lepidolopha mogoltavica. Its description in RNAcentral is "partial miscellaneous RNA". The record is from RNAcentral. Lineage: Eukaryota; Viridiplantae; Streptophyta; Magnoliopsida; Asterales; Asteraceae.